AUUGAACGCUGGCGGCAGGCCUAACACAUGCAAGUCGAACGGUAACAGGGAGCAGCUUGCUGCUUCGCUGACGAGUGGCGGACGGGUGAGUAAUGUCUGGGAAACUGCCUGAUGGAGGGGGAUAACUACUGGAAACGGUAGCUAAUACCGCAUAACGUCGCAAGACCAAAGAGGGGGACCUUCGGGCCUCUUGCCAUCGGAUGUGCCCAGAUGGGAUUAGCUAGUUGGUGGGGUAACGGCUCACCAAGGCGACGAUCCCUAGCUGGUCUGAGAGGAUGACCAGCCACACUGGAACUGAGACACGGUCCAGACUCCUACGGGAGGCAGCAGUGGGGAAUAUUGCACAAUGGGCGCAAGCCUGAUGCAGCCAUGCCGCGUGUAUGAAGAAGGCCUUCGGGUUGUAAAGUACUUUCAGCGGGGAGGAAGGGAGUAAAGUUAAUACCUUUGCUCAUUGACGUUACCCGCAGAAGAAGCACCGGCUAACUCCGUGCCAGCAGCCGCAGUAA
Molecule: ribosomal RNA, 506 nt
Filed under: uncultured bacterium
Lineage: Bacteria
Description: partial 16S ribosomal RNA
Rfam family: Bacterial small subunit ribosomal RNA
Source: RNAcentral